Molecule: transfer RNA, 77 nt
Filed under: Clostridiales bacterium
Lineage: Bacteria; Bacillati; Bacillota; Clostridia; Eubacteriales
Description: tRNA-Pro
Rfam family: tRNA
About the family: Transfer RNA (tRNA) molecules are approximately 80 nucleotides in length. Their secondary structure includes four short double-helical elements and three loops (D, anti-codon, and T loops).
Source: RNAcentral
CUGGGUGUGGCGCAGUUUGGUAGCGCGCUACCUUGGGGUGGUAGAGGCCGCUGGUUCAACUCCAGUCACUCAGACCA